Molecule: long non-coding RNA, 139 nt
Organism: Bufo bufo (common toad)
Lineage: Eukaryota; Metazoa; Chordata; Amphibia; Anura; Bufonidae
Exons: 3
Source: RefSeq, a predicted model, not a curated record
GAUGACCUGUCCUCAGGAUAGCGACAAAAAAAUAUAAUUGUGGAAUCGCACUCACCAGAUCUUGAGGUCAUCCGGAAUGCAACAGCCUACCUGGAGUCCAAGAUUCAUCAGGGCUCCUGCAUAUAGAAUCCAAAAAAAA